UGCCAGCCGCCACGGUAAUACGAAGGGCCCGAGCGUUGAUCGGAAUCACUGGGCUUAAAGGGUGCGUAGGCUGACUCGUCAGUGUCUUGUGAAAUCCCACGGCUCAACCGUGGAACUGCAGGGCAUACUGCGAGUCUUGAGGCCAGUAGAGGUCGUCGGAACUCCAGGUGUAGCGGUGAAAUGCGUAGAUAUCUAGAGGAACGCCAAUGGUGAAGACAGGCGACUGGGCUGGACCUGACGCUGAGGCACGAAAGCGUGGGGAGCGAAGAGGAUUAGAUA
This 279-nucleotide ribosomal RNA is filed under the name uncultured bacterium. Its description in RNAcentral is "partial 16S ribosomal RNA". It matches the Rfam family "Bacterial small subunit ribosomal RNA", at positions 506 to 784 of the family's 1533-position model. The record is from RNAcentral.